Molecule: long non-coding RNA, 670 nt
Filed under: Mytilus galloprovincialis (Mediterranean mussel)
Lineage: Eukaryota; Metazoa; Mollusca; Bivalvia; Mytilida; Mytilidae
Source: RNAcentral
UGGAUGGUUACCUUCAAAAGAACGUCGCUGGUGUAAUAUGGUUAGAUAUUGGAACCGAUUGAUGGAUAUGGACAAUAGUAGACUUUGUAAAAGGGUGUUCCUAUGGGACUACGAAUUAUCUACGAACAAUUGGUCAACUAGUGUAAGAACAAUAAUGUCUUUAGUUGGUAUGGAUGAUAACUUUCAACAAAUGCUAAAAUGUGAUGUUACUAGCGUCAGAAACAAUCUUAUGGAUAUAUGUGCAACAAAAUGGCAUACAAACUUAUCUAACUUUCCGAAACUUCGUACAUAUAGAACUUUUAAAUCUACAUAUUCAACAGAAACAUAUGUUAAACAAAAUUUAAAACGUAGAGAAAGAUCGGUACUGGCCCAGUUUAGAUGUGGCAUUCUUCCGCUAAGAUUAGAAACAGGACGUUUUGUUGGUGAGCCAGAAUACCAACGGAUAUGUAGAAUGUGCGACUCCGGACAUGUUGAAAAUGAACUACACUUUCUGAUUGAAUGCCAAUUUUACAAUGGACUACGUAAUAAAUUAUUCUCUGGACUUAGUGAAACCGUAUUAAAUUUGAAUAACAGUGAAAAGUUAAAUUUAUUAUUGUCAGAAUAUCCUCGAAAAACAGCUCAAUACUUAGAACAUUCAUUAACAAAACGCAGACAACACUUAUAUUUAAAU